Molecule: long non-coding RNA, 4711 nt
Filed under: Ananas comosus (pineapple)
Lineage: Eukaryota; Viridiplantae; Streptophyta; Magnoliopsida; Poales; Bromeliaceae
Description: long non-coding RNA (ACOM_LNC030063)
Source: RNAcentral
AUAUAUAUAUAUAUAUAUAGAGAGAGAGAGAGAGAGAGUGAGGCUACUAUGUUAUCGGAAGCACGGAGCCUUCUAUGCUUCCAGCUCGUUUUCGAUGUUGCGACUUUUUCGUUAAACUUGAUCUAGAUUAUUUGGAGUACCUAGAAAAUAAAUUUUAUUAUUUUUCGAUAUCAUUUGCCUAGUGAUCGAAUGGGCUCAAAAUCAACAAAUUUCAAUGGCCGUAGUGAGCCGUUUGCAAGUUUAACGGCGUAGAAAUAUUCAAAUCACGUGAAAUUUUGAUAGAAAAUUUUUUAUACUAUAUAAAAUAAGAUCAAUAUUUUUGAUUUAAAAUUUUAAUGUCCUAUUAUUAUAUUUUGUAAGAUUUUUAUUUUCAGCCGUUGAUUUUGAGCCCUUUCGUUCACUAGGCAAAUGAUAUCGUAAAAUCAUAAAAUUUAUUUUCUAGGUAUUUCAAAUACUCUAGAUCAAGUUUAACGGAGCCGAUCGACGAUUUGAAAGUCGCAACAUCGAAAACGAACUGGAAGCACGGAAGGCUCCGUGCUUCCGAUAGCAUAGUAGCCUCACUCUAUAUAUAUAUAUAUAUAUAGUACGUCUCCCGUGUUUUCGAACGUACGGAGGUCUUCGUACUUGUAAGUUGUUUUCGAUGAUAGGACAUCCGAUUCGACGAUCGGCUCUGUUAGGCAUAAUCUAUGCUAUUGGAACUAUCUAGAAACCAAAUUUUAUAAUUUUUCGACUUCAUUUACCAAGCGAUCAAAGGGUCUCAAAAAUGAUUAUUUUAACGGCUGAUGUGGCACGUUUUUAAGUUCAAUGGUGUAGAAGUAUCCAAAUUAUAUGAAACUUUAAUAGAAAAUUCUUCUUAACAUCAAGAGUAAGAACAAUACUUCUGAUUUGAAAUUUGAGUUCUUUAUCACUGUUUUUUAUGAGAUUUUUAUUUUCAACUGUUUAUUUUGAGGCUACUCGUUCACUAGGCAAACGAAAUUAAAAUAUUAUGAAAUUUGGUUUCUAGAUAGUUCUAAUAGCGUAGAUCAUGUCUAACAGAACCGAUCGCCGAAUUAGACGUCCCAUCAUCGAAAAUAAAUUACAAGCACGAAGGUCUCCGUAUUUUCAAAAGCAUAGGAGCCUAGCUCUCUCUCUCUCUCUCUCUCUCUCUCUCUCUAUAUAUAUAUAUAUAGCAGGGCUGCUGUGCUCUAAGGAGCACGAAGGCGUUCGUGCUCCUGAGCCGUUUUCGAUGAUGGAAUUUUCGAAUCGACGAUUAGCUCCGUUAGACUUGAUCUAGCGCAUUUGAAGUUUCUAGAAAAUAAUUUUUGCGAUUUUUUGAUAUCAUUUACCUAAUGAUCGAAAGGAUUCAAAAUUCAUAAUUUUUAAUGGUUGAUAUCUGCCGUUUUCAAGUUUAACGGUGUAGAAGUAUUCAAAUUAGAUGAAAUUUUGAUACAAAAUUUUUUAUACUAUCUAUAAUAAAAUCAAUAUUUCUGAUCGAAAAUUUUAGUGCUAUAUCUCCACUUUUUAUAGGAUUUUUAUUUUUAGCCGUUAAAAAUUAUUGAUUUUGAAUCCUUUUGAUUGCUAGGUAAAUAAUAUUGAAAAAUCUAAAAAAUUAUUUUUUAGAAACUUCAAAUACGCUAGAUCAAGUUUAACGGAGCCAAUCGUUGAUUUGGAAACUCCAUCAUCGAAAACGGCUCAGAAGCACGGAGGCCUCCGUGCUCCUGAAGAGCACAGCAGCCCUGCUCUAUAUAUAUAGGUAGUAAACGAGCCGUUUUACUACCGAUUUGUUUUCGAUGAUAGAACCUCCAAAUUGACGAUCGGCUUCAUUGAACAUGAUGUAUACCACUUGAAGUGUUUAGAAAUCAAAUUUUAAAUCUUUUCAACAUCAUUUGCCUAAUGAUCAAAGGGUUUCAAAAUUUGUAAUUUUAAUGGUCGAUAAGAGGCGUUUUCUCGUUUAAUGGCGUAAAGAUAUUCAAAUCAAUUGAAUUUUUGUUAGAAAAUUUUUUAAACUAUUUAAAACAAGAUCUAUACUCUUGAUCUUGAUUACAAGACUCCUAUCAUCAUUUUUUAAAGAAUAUUCAUUUUCAGCCAUUUAUUUUGCUGUUCACUUAAUGGAUAAAAGAACAAUAUCGAAAGUGCAUAAAAUUUGAUUUCUAGGUAGUUUAAAUGGUUUAGAUCAUAUUUAACGGAGCCGAUCGUCAAUUUGGAAGCUCUAUCAUCGAAAACAAAUCGGUAGUAAAACGGCUCGUUUACUACCGAUAGUAUUCUAGCUCAACUCUCUAUAUAUAUAUAUAAAUUUUGAGUUCUUUGUAUUUAUAGUGAACUAUUACCUAAUGUUUUCUGAAUUUGUUUUCUUUUUAAGAUCACACUUUUUCCCAAACAUCUCAACCCUAUGCUCAUUUUAGUGACAUUUCUCUUUCACACAAUGCUUUAGAAAUUCUCUAGUGAGCCACAUCUACAUGAAUUGCUGCUUUCUCAAAAUCUUUUUAAAAGUCAAAACCUAUCAACUGUGUAUAAAUUGACACUUAUUGUCCUCUUAAUAGGGUUGAUAAAAAACGAAAAAAAAAAAAACAAAAACAAGAAAUGGUUUCAUUCAUUGAUUGAAACAUUUGCAAAAAAAAAAAGUCAGUGGUGGAUUCCUUUUCAUGUAAGGCUUGUUCACAAUCCUUCUCGUGCUAUACUAUGGAUUUAAGUUAUGUUAAGACUUAAUUACACUAUGCCACACAAUACUUUAUAAUUUUUUUGGCUAAAAUAUAAAAAAAAUUUCUAUAAAUACCUAGCGUUUCACUUUUCCUCAUUGACAUUCAAAAAUGUAUAUUUUGCCCUCUAAAAAAAUUUAGAAAUAUUUUCAGAAAGUUACAGCAAUAAUGAAGUGUUGGAGAAAAAUUCAAAAUCCUCUAUUUUAUUAUUUUAACUUAUUAAUCUUAAUUUAUUUUUAUUAUAUAUAUAUAUAUAUAUAUAUAGAGUUGAGCUAGAAUACUAUCGAUAGCAAACGGACUUCGUUGCCAUCCAUUUGUUUUCGAUGAUGGAGCCUCCAAAUCGACGAUCGGCACCGUUGAACAUGAUUUAUACCACUUGAAGUGUUUAGAAAUAAAAUUUCAUACAUUUUAGAUAUUGUUCUUUUAUCCAUCAAGUUGACACAAAAAUAGACGGCUGAAAAUGAAUAUUCUUUAAAAAAUGAUGAUAGUAGUCUUGUAAUCAAGAUCAAGAAUAUAGAUCUUAUUUUAAAUAGUUUAAAGAAUUUUCUAACAACAAUGCAAUUGAUUUGGAUAUCUUUACACCGUUAAACGAGAAAAUGCCUCAUAUCGACCAUUAAAAUUACAAAAUUUGAAACUCUUUGAUCAUUAGGUAAAUGAUGUCGAAAAGAUUUGAAAUUUGAUUUCUAAGCACUUCAAGUAGUAUAGAUCAUGUUCAACGGUGUCGAUCGUCGAUUUGGAGGCUCCAUCAUCGAAAAUAAAUGGAUGGCAACGGAGCCCGUUUGCUAUCAAUAGCAUUCUAGCUCAACUCUCUCUCUCUCUCUCUCUCUCUCUCUCUCUCUCUCUCUCUCUUCAUCUACGUUUCUCCUCUCUUAUAUAUAUAUAUAUAUUAUAUAUAUAUAUAUGAGCUAGGUUGGUAUACUAUCGGUAGCACGGAGACCUCUGUGCUACCAAGUUGUUUUCAAUGAUACGACUUCCAAAUCGACGAUCGGCUCCGGUAGACUUGAUCCACACUAUUGAAAAUAUUUGGAAACUAAAUUUCAUAAUUUUUCGGCAUCAUUUACCUAUCAAACGAGUAGUCUAAAAAUGAACGGUGAAAAUAAAAUCACACAAAAAAUGAUGAUAAAAGGCUUGAAUUUAACAUCAGAGAUACGAUCUUACUCUAAGUAGUGAAAAAAAAAAUUUUAUAAAAAAUUUCAUCAAAUUUGGAUUGUUUUACACCGUUAAAUUCACAAACGCAUCAAAUCUAUUAUUAAAAUUUUUAAUUUUGAGACCUUUUGAUCACUAGUCAAAUGAUGGCGAAAAAUUGUGAAAUUUAGUUUUCAAAUACUUUUAAUAGUGUAGAUAAUGUCUAACGAAGCGAUCGUCGAUUUGAAAGUCACAUCAUUGAAAUAAUUUGUAGCACGGAGGCUGAUAGUAUACCAUAUAUUAUAUAUAUAUAUAUAUAUAUAUAUUAUAUAUAAUUAUAUAUAUAAUAUAUAGAGUGAGGCUACUAUGCUAUCGGAAGCACGAGCCAUCCGUGCUUCCAGCUCGUUUUGAUGUUGCGACUUUUUGAAUCGUCGAUCGGCUCCGUUAAACCUGAUCUAGAGUAUUUGGAUACAUAGAAAAUAAAUUUUAUUAUUCGAUAUCAUUUGCCUAGUGAUCGAAUGAGCUCAAAAUCAACAAAUUUCAAUGGCCGUAGUGAGCCGUUUGCAAGUUUAACGGUGGUAGAAAUAUCCAAAUCACGUGAAAUUUUGAUAGAAAAUUCUUUAUACUAUAUAAAACAAGAUCAAUAUCUUUGAUUUAAAAUUUUAAUGUUAUAUGUUACAUUUUUGUAAGAUUUUUAUUUUCAGCCGUUGAUUUGAGCCCCUUCGUUCAUUAGGCAAAUCAUAUCGUAAAAUCAUAAAAUUUAUUUUCUAGGUACUCCAAAUACUCUAGAUCAAGUUUAACGGAGCCGAUCGACGAUUCGAAAGUCGCAACAUCGAAAACGAGCUGGAAGCACGAAAGGUUCCGUGCUUCCGAUAGCAUAGUAGCCUCACUCUAUAUAUAUAUAUAUAUAU